Molecule: ribosomal RNA, 438 nt
Filed under: uncultured bacterium
Lineage: Bacteria
Description: partial 16S ribosomal RNA
Rfam family: Bacterial small subunit ribosomal RNA
Source: RNAcentral
CUACGGGUGGCAGCAGUGGGGAAUAUUGCACAAUGGGGGAAACCCUGAUGCAGCAACGCCGCGUGGAGGAUGACACAUUUCGGUGCGUAAACUCCUUUUAUAUAGGAAGAUAAUGACGGUACUAUAUGAAUAAGCGCCGUCUAACUCCGUGCCAGCAGCCGCGGUAAUACGGAGGGCGCAAGCGUUACUCGGAAUCACUGGGCGUAAAGAGCGUGUAGGCGGGUAGUUAAGUCAGAAGUGAAAUCCUAUGGCUCAACCAUAGAACUGCUUUUGAAACUGAUUACCUAGAAUAUGGGAGAGGUAGAUGGAAUUUCUGGUGUAGGGGCAAAAUCCGUAGAGAUCAGAAGGAAUACCGAUUGCGAAGGCGAUCUACUGGAACAUUAUUGACGCUGAGACGCGAAAGCGUGGGGAGCAAACAGGAUUAGAUACCCUAUAGUC